CGACGUCCUCACCUUCGACGCCACCCACGCCGUCAGCAACUUCCAGUUCGGGUGCAGCCACGCUGAGCAGGGCAGCUUCGACAACCGUGCGGCGGGCAUCAUGGCGCUCGGCGGCGGCCCGGAGUCGCUGCUGGCCCAGACGGCGUCCCGCUGGGGGAACGCCUUCUCCUACUGCAUCCCGCCGACGUCGAGCAACUCCGGCUUCUUCGGCCUCGGCGUGCCCGGCGGCGUCGCCUCCUCCAGGUACGUGGUGACGCCGAUGCUCAGGUACCCGAACCUGCCCACCUUCUACCGCGUGCUCCUCCGGGCCAUCACCGUCGGCGGGCAGCGGCUCAACGUGCCCGCCGCGGUGUUCUCCGCCGGCUCCGUGAUGGAUUCGCGCACGGCCAUCAGCCGCCUGCCGCCGACGGCGUACGCGGCGCUGCGGGCGGCGUUCAGGAACGCCAUGAGGAUGUACCGCCCUGCGCCGCCCAAGGGGAACCUCGACACCUGCUACGACUUCACCGGCGUCGCCAACGUCAGGCUGCCGAGGAUCGCGCUGGUGUUCGAC
This 550-nucleotide long non-coding RNA is filed under the name Setaria italica (foxtail millet). RNAcentral's name for it is "long non-coding RNA (SITA_LNC002692)". The record is from RNAcentral. Lineage: Eukaryota; Viridiplantae; Streptophyta; Magnoliopsida; Poales; Poaceae.